RNAcentral lists this ribosomal RNA (502 nucleotides) under uncultured bacterium. RNAcentral's name for it is "partial 16S ribosomal RNA". It matches the Rfam family "Bacterial small subunit ribosomal RNA", at positions 29 to 523 of the family's 1533-position model. The record is from RNAcentral.
AUUGAACGCUGGCGGAAUGCUUUACACAUGCAAGUCGAACGGCAGCACGGGUGCUUGCACCUGGUGGCGAGUGGCGAACGGGUGAGUAAUACAUCGGAACGUACCCAGUCGUGGGGGAUAACGUAGCGAAAGUUGCGCUAAUACCGCAUACGUCCUGAGGGAGAAAGCGGGGGACCGUAAGGCCUCGCGCGAUUGGAGCGGCCGAUGGCGGAUUAGCUAGUUGGUGGGGUAAAGGCCUACCAAGGCGACGAUCCGUAGCGGGUCUGAGAGGACGGCCCGCCACACUGGAACUGAGACACGGUCCAGACUCCUACGGGAGGCAGCAGUGGGGAAUUUUGGACAAUGGGCGAAAGCCUGAUCCAGCCAUUCCGCGUGAGUGAAGAAGGCCUUCGGGUUGUAAAGCUCUUUCGGCAGGGAGGAAACGGCUUGGGAUAAUACCCCGGGCUAAUGACGGUACCUGAAGAAGAAGCACCGGCUAACUACGUGCCAGCCGCCGCGGUAA